AUGGGCACCUACUGGCCCUACACGCCCUCCAUCCAGCUCCUCUACGGCCUCCGCGCCGGCCUCGACCUCCUCUUCGAGGAGGGCCUCGACAACGUCAUCAAGAGGCACACACGCCUCGGCACCGCAACAAGGCUGGCGGUGGCGGCGUGGGGGCUCAAGAACUGCACCGCGAAGGAGGAGAACUUCAGCGACACGGUCACCGCCGUCGUCGUGCCGCCGUACAUCGACAGCUCCGAGAUCGUCAAGCACGCGUGGAAGCGGUACAACCUCAGCCUCGGGCUCGGGCUCAACAAGGUCGCCGGCAAGGUCUUCAGGAUCGGCCACCUCGGCCACCUCAACGAGCUGCAACUUCUGGGUUGCCUCGGCGGGGUGGAGAUGGUGCUCAAGGACAUCGGGUACCCGGUGAAGCUCGGCAGCGGCGUGGCGGCCGCCGCGGCGUACCUCUCGAAUUCCACGCCCCUCAUCCCCUCCAGGAUCUGA
RNAcentral lists this ribosomal RNA (480 nucleotides) under Triticum aestivum (bread wheat). Its description in RNAcentral is "partial small subunit ribosomal RNA". The record is from RNAcentral. Lineage: Eukaryota; Viridiplantae; Streptophyta; Magnoliopsida; Poales; Poaceae.